This 163-nucleotide small nuclear RNA is filed under the name Moschus moschiferus (Siberian musk deer). RNAcentral describes it as "U1 spliceosomal RNA (ENSMMSG00000006294.1)". It matches the Rfam family "U1 spliceosomal RNA". Rfam says of the family: U1 is a small nuclear RNA (snRNA) component of the spliceosome (involved in pre-mRNA splicing). The record is from Rfam by way of RNAcentral. Lineage: Eukaryota; Metazoa; Chordata; Mammalia; Artiodactyla; Moschidae.
UUCAUCACCCAGCAGGAGAGUCACCAAAAACUCAAAGGUGGUUUUCCCAGCGGAGGCCUAUCCAUUGCAUUCCAUAUAUGCCAACCCUUGCAAUUUCCCCAAACGUGGAAAGCUCGACUGCAUAAUUUGUGGUAAUUGGGGACUACAUUUGCGCUCUCCCCUA